This 500-nucleotide ribosomal RNA is filed under the name uncultured bacterium. Its description in RNAcentral is "bacterial SSU rRNA". It matches the Rfam family "Bacterial small subunit ribosomal RNA", at positions 28 to 514 of the family's 1533-position model. The record is from RNAcentral.
GAUGAACGCUAGCGGCAGGCUUAACACAUGCAAGUCGAGGGGCAGCAUGGGACGGAGAUUCGUCGAAGUCCUGAUGGCGACCGGCGCAAGGGUGCGUAACGCGUGAGCAACUUGCCCGUUUCUGGGGAAUAACCGGUGGAAACGCCGACUAAUACCCCAUAGUAUUGAGUUCAGGCAUCUUUACUCAAUUAAAGAAUUUCGGAAACGGAUAGGCUCGCGUGACAUUAGCUAGAUGGCGGGGUAACGGCCCACCAUGGCUACGAUGUCUAGGGGUUCUGAGAGGAAGGUCCCCCACACUGGAACUGAGACACGGUCCAGACUCCUACGGGAGGCAGCAGUGAGGAAUAUUGGGUCAAUGGUCUGACGACUGAACCAGCCAUGCCGCGUGAAGGUCACGGCCCUAUGGGUCUUAAACUUCUUUUGUAAGGGAGCAAUAAGUCUCACGUGUGGGAUGAUGAGAGUACCUUACGAAUAAGCAUCGGCUAACUCCGUGCCAGCAG